AGUGAACGCUGGCGGUAGGCCUAACACAUGCAAGUCGAACGGCAGCACAGUAAGAGCUUGCUCUUACGGGUGGCGAGUGGCGGACGGGUGAGGAAUACAUCGGAAUCUACUUUUUCGUGGGGGAUAACGUAGGGAAACUUACGCUAAUACCGCAUACGACCUACGGGUGAAAGCAGGAGAUCUUCGGACUUUGCGCGAUUGAAUGAGCCGAUGUCGGAUUAGCUAGUUGGCGGGGUAAAGACCCACCAAGGCGACGAUCCGUAGCUGGUCUGAGAGGAUGAUCGGCCACACUGGAACGGAGACACGGUCCAGACUCCUACGGGAGGCAGCAGUGGGGAAUAUUGGACAAAGGGCGCAAGCCUGAUCCAACCAUACCGCGUGGGUUGAGAAGGCCUUCGGGUUGUAAAGCCCUUUUGUUGGGAAAGAAAAGCAGCAGGUUAAUACCCCGCUGUUCUGACGGUACCCAAAGAAUAAGCACCGGCUAACUUCGUG
Molecule: ribosomal RNA, 492 nt
Filed under: uncultured bacterium
Lineage: Bacteria
Description: partial 16S ribosomal RNA
Rfam family: Bacterial small subunit ribosomal RNA
Source: RNAcentral